Molecule: long non-coding RNA, 438 nt
Filed under: Mus musculus (house mouse)
Lineage: Eukaryota; Metazoa; Chordata; Mammalia; Rodentia; Muridae
Description: predicted gene, 32114
Source: RNAcentral
GGCCUUGCUCUUAUGUCAUCUGACUAAAGGUUUCAUAGACCAAAAAUAACCAUCCAACCUGUUGGAAUACUGAAACAAUUGCUGCCUGCUUUCCACACACUACAUAAAAUAUGUGGAUAUCCUAAAUUCUACAAAAAAAGAUUUGUAAGCAAAUCAAGCAAUACUGGGACUCCCUCUUCUCCAGAAGAGACAUCCUGGCCUCCAUGCAGAGGAAUGUGUGGAUAGACAUAUAUUUAAGGAAGACACUAAACCAGAAAAUACUACAUUACACCCUCUUAAAAGACUUCCAAGAUUGUUGUCAUGCCUACCACUGACAUUCAGAUGAUGUGUAUUCUUGAUUGUGAUUUCAUGUUUGGAGCUGAUGAAGGAGUUUGAAGUCUCCAGAGCAGCAAGGAGAGUGGGGAGUAGAACUCAUCAUCUUUAGGUCACUCAUCACCG